Long non-coding RNA from Ixodes scapularis (black-legged tick), 695 nucleotides. RefSeq lists it as uncharacterized. The record is from RefSeq and is a predicted model, not a curated record. The transcript is spliced from 3 exons. Lineage: Eukaryota; Metazoa; Arthropoda; Arachnida; Ixodida; Ixodidae.
UACUCUCGCCACGUGACGCUGCAGCCUUAGGCCACAGUUCACACAGUGAGAAUAAAAACACUGAAAAUAGACGAGGGACAGACACAGUUCUUCCUGCGUGAGCUGCAGUCUAUCCAACACACUCUGCUAGAAGUACCUAGCCUUAACCCUUUACUGCACCUUGUUGCAUAUUCGCAACAUAGCGAUAAACGACGAUAAAAACAUCUACAAAAUGCAUUCAGUGCUAGUUCCGCACGUUGUUGCAUUUCUGCAACAUACAUCCGCGAGGCGAGCCGUCCAGUGCUGCCAUCUGUACUCAGGCGGCGAAACUGCUCUCUAAAAAGCGUGACAGCCACCACGUGGACGCUCAACAAGUGACACAGAGCAGACACAAUGGACCCCAAACGGUUUUACAGCCGUGGAAUUCCUUCCGACAGUGAGGACAGCGAGCUCUCCGGCAGUGACGAUGACUCUGAUUAUGUCCAACCCCCUGCAAAAUGUAGUGCCAGUUCAAGCGAGGCGAGUACAAGCUCUGACGAAGAGGAAGCUCCCGCAAGCCAACCAGCUGAUCAGUCAUCAACUCAAUCUAAGAGAAGAAUUAUCUGGAAGAAUGCAAGCCUGAUGCGGGAUCCUGAAACAGUGAAGUUCACUGGACAAAAUGAGCUUCCGCAGGAAGUUUCAGAGUUGGAAACACCUUUCCAAUACUUCAAGUUCAU